GCCUGGCUGGCUCAGAUGGUAGAGCAUGUGACUCUUGAUCUUGAGGUCAUGAAUUCAAGCUCCAUGCUGGGCA
Molecule: non-coding RNA, 73 nt
Organism: Canis lupus familiaris (dog)
Lineage: Eukaryota; Metazoa; Chordata; Mammalia; Carnivora; Canidae
Source: Rfam